CAGUCGCCGCGGUAAUACGUAGGUGGCAAGCGUUGUCCGGAAUUAUUGGGCGUAAAGGGCUCGCAGGCGGUUUCUUAAGUCUGAUGUGAAAGCCCCCGGCUCAACCGGGGAGGGUCAUUGGAAACUGGGAAACUUGAGUGCAGAAGAGGAGAGUGGAAUUCCACGUGUAGCGGUGAAAUGCGUAGAGAUGUGGAGGAACACCAGUGGCGAAGGCGACUCUCUGGUCUGUAACAGACGCUGAGGAGCGAAAGCGUGGGGAGCGAACAGGAUUAGAUACCCCCGUAGUCCCUGUCUCUUAUAC
RNAcentral lists this ribosomal RNA (301 nucleotides) under uncultured bacterium. RNAcentral describes it as "partial 16S ribosomal RNA". It matches the Rfam family "Bacterial small subunit ribosomal RNA", at positions 509 to 807 of the family's 1533-position model. The record is from RNAcentral.